GGAAGCGUGGCCGAGCGGUCUAAGGCAUCCGCUUUGAAAGCGGACAGGCGUCGUCACGGCGUCUCGCGGGUUCGAAUCCUCGCCGCUUCCGCCA
Molecule: transfer RNA, 94 nt
Filed under: Betaproteobacteria bacterium
Lineage: Bacteria; Pseudomonadati; Pseudomonadota; Betaproteobacteria
Description: tRNA-Ser
Rfam family: tRNA
About the family: Transfer RNA (tRNA) molecules are approximately 80 nucleotides in length.
Source: RNAcentral